AGUGAACGCUGGCGGUAGGCCUAACACAUGCAAGUCGAACGGUAGCACAGUAAGAGCUUGCUCUUACGGGUGGCGAGUGGCGGACGGGUGAGGAAUACAUCGGAAUCUACUUUUUCGUGGGGGAUAACGUAGGGAAACUUACGCUAAUACCGCAUACGACCUACGGGUGAAAGCAGGGGAUCUUCGGACCUUGCGCGAUUGAAUGAGCCGAUGUCGGAUUAGCUAGUUGGCGGGGUAAAGGCCCACCAAGGCGACGAUCCGUAGCUGGUCUGAGAGGAUGAUCAGCCACACUGGAACGGAGACACGGUCCAGACUCCUACGGGAGGCAGCAGUGGGGAAUAUUGGACAAUGGGCGCAAGCCUGAUCCAGCCAUACCGCGUGGGUGAAGAAGGCCUUCGGGUUGUAAAGCCCUUUUGUUGGGAAAGAAAAGCAGCAGGUUAAUACCCCGCUGUUCUGACGGUACCCAAAGAAUAAGCACCGGCUAACUUCGUG
Molecule: ribosomal RNA, 492 nt
Filed under: uncultured bacterium
Lineage: Bacteria
Description: partial 16S ribosomal RNA
Rfam family: Bacterial small subunit ribosomal RNA
Source: RNAcentral